This is a long non-coding RNA of Bradysia coprophila, 174 nucleotides long. The record is from RefSeq and is a predicted model, not a curated record. Lineage: Eukaryota; Metazoa; Arthropoda; Insecta; Diptera; Sciaridae.
UUUUUCAGCCUGUUUUUAUCCACUGCUGGACGUUGGCCUCCCCGAUUCUCUUCCAUUCCGAAGAUUCGUUUCCACUUGUUGCCAACUUGUGCCUGCAAUUCUCUUUAUACCAUUAUUCCAUCUCUCUGGUGGUCUACCUCUAGGUCUUGUUUUAGGUGUUAACCGAUGUACGGG